RNA transcript from Cucurbita moschata (crookneck pumpkin), 1208 nucleotides. It is a transcript of the gene named regulator of G-protein signaling 1-like, with no coding region annotated. The record is from RefSeq and is a predicted model, not a curated record. The transcript is spliced from 3 exons. NCBI's taxonomy places the organism in Eukaryota, Viridiplantae, Streptophyta, Magnoliopsida, Cucurbitales, Cucurbitaceae.
GAUCUUUUCCUAAUACGAGAGGACGGGGAAGGAAGCACCUCUAAUAUACCAUGUCCACCUAUUGGUAGCAAAAUUUGGACCAUAUGAUUUAACUUUUUGACACUGAAUAAGAAUCGAACAAUAAUCAAUCGAUUAUUGCAGGGCGAACAAUGGAAUCAAAAUCAUCUGAUUAUGUCAAAAUUUUCCGACGAAUCAGACGAUUUCUUCAAGCUAUUGCUUCGUCGAAUCGAAGGAAGAAAGUUACUCAUCUUAACGGAUGCAAAAUGGCGCUCUGUGCCGUCGACGGUGGCUACCCCAGCGAUCACAUCGCGAUAGAUUUUGCUGCACAUUGUAUGGCUUUUUAUCAAUGUCAGGAUGCUUCUGAAUAACAGGUACCACAUGAGGCCGCAGUGGAUUGUUCCAAUCAUGUCUCUGCAUAUCCUAUAUGGGCUGUGGAAAGGAAUAAUUGUCUCAGCAUCUUCAAUUGGAAAAAAUGGGGUCGAUUUAGGCUCCUUCCCUUCCACUACAUAGCUGCGCUAGCAGGUACCACGAGCCCUCUGUCCCAUAGAUCUAACCUGCUCGCGUGGUUCACCGGUUCUACUGAAAACUCUCAUUUGUUGAAGGGAAGCAUAAUGCGCUUUAGGCACCGAGCGAGAAAGGUCUCUUCUUUUUCCUAAUCUGAAGUGAUAUAUGCAUAUAUAUACUACAAAACUCAUCAAUUUUUCACUUGUUCUUUGUUCUUCCAGGAGUUGCUUCUGCCUUUACUACGAAUGAAAUCCAUGAAGAGAUCUAGGACUCCAGGUUGCUUCUAGAUUUCUGUUAUUACUCGAGGUAUGACGUGUGUGCUGCUUUAUUAUUGGGGGGGUGGGUAGUGGGGGACUCCUCCAGGUUGCCCCUAGCGAGCAAAUUAUUUCUUUCUUUUAGUCUCACUCAAAUGGGUUCAAAGUAAAAGAAAGGGAAUGUAGUUGAAGGAGAACUAAAAGUCAUUAAUCUCUCAACGUCAACAGCAAGGCAAGUUCAAAGUUGAAGGCAGAGUGAAGGUGCAAAUAGAUCAUGUGAUUGUCUUCAUCUUUUAAAGAUCUAAAACGAAAGUUUGUCUUGUUUUGAGCAUCCAUGAUUUCAACGGUACUGUGGGGAUGCACUGUUAGCAAUUAAUGUCUUGGAAGUAGCAGAGUUAUCAUCUUUUGCUCAAUAAUCUAAUGGUCCUUCCUGUAAGGAGUAAUUGCAUC